Molecule: ribosomal RNA, 497 nt
Filed under: uncultured bacterium
Lineage: Bacteria
Description: partial 16S ribosomal RNA
Rfam family: Bacterial small subunit ribosomal RNA
Source: RNAcentral
GAUGAACGCUGGCGGCGUGCCUAAUACAUGCAAGUCGAGCGAACAGACGAGGAGCUUGCUCCUCUGACGUUAGCGGCGGAGGGGUGAGUAACACGUGGAUAACCUACCUAUAAGACUGGGAUAACUUCGGGAAACCGGAGCUAAUACCGGAGAAUAUAUUGAACCGCAUGGUUCAAUAGUGAAAGACGGUUUUGCUGUCACGUAUAGAUGGAUCCGCGCCGCAUUAGCUAGUUGGUAAGGUAACGGCUUACCAAGGCAACGAUGCGUAGCCGACCUGAGAGGGUGAGCGGCCAGACUGGAAGUGAGACACGGCACAGACUCCUACGGAAGGCAGCAGUAGGGAAUCUUGCGCAAUGGGCGAAAGCUUGACGGAGCAACGCCGCGGGAGUGAUGAAGGUCUUCGGAUCGUAAAACUCUGUUAUUAGGGAAGAAAAAAUGUGUAAGUAACUAUGCACGUCUUGAAGGUACCUAAUCAGAAAGCCACGGCUAACUACGUG